This 253-nucleotide ribosomal RNA is filed under the name uncultured Eubacteriales bacterium. RNAcentral's name for it is "uncultured Clostridiales bacterium partial 16S ribosomal RNA". It matches the Rfam family "Bacterial small subunit ribosomal RNA", at positions 524 to 776 of the family's 1533-position model. Lineage: Bacteria; Bacillati; Bacillota; Clostridia; Eubacteriales. The record is from RNAcentral.
UACAUAGGGAGCAAGCGUUAUCCGGAUUUAUUGGGUGUAAAGGGUGCGUAGACGGGAAAAUAAGUUAGUUGUGAAAUCCCUCGGCUCAACUGAGGAACUGCAACUAAAACUAUUUUUCUUGAGUGCAGGAGAGGAAAGUGGAAUUCCUAGUGUAGCGGUGAAAUGCGUAGAUAUUAGGAGGAACACCAGUGGCGAAGGCGGCUCUCUGGUCUGCAACUGACGCUGAGGCUCGAAAGCAUGGGUAGCGAACAGG